AGCCCUGCUGCAGACCCAGUCCUUCAGGGAACCUGUACAAUUUACCUGGCACCUACACUUCUCAGCUUCUCACACAAGUUUGGCCACCUCUGUGGGCUCUGAGUGAUGGUCAGUGGCUCACCUGUCACUUGGCUUCCUGCUACCAGCUUUGAAGUGGCUGCUGAGCUGAAAGCCCCACUGAGCAGUCAGAUCCUACCAGCCCUGUGCCAAACGGGCUCCUGUUUUUCUGAAGCACGCAACAGCUGGAAUGAACUUGGAAAGGAUGUUUGGCUUCCAAAGCCUGGGAUGCCUUGCCUCUGCUACUGUACGGUGGAAGCACCUGCAUUUUGGAUUAUGGCCUUUCUUCAGCUUCCUUUGGAAAAGGAGUUAAGAAAUCUGACAAAAAUCCUUCAUUUUUAAAAACUUGUUUCCACGUGGACACUUCUGAAAACUGGUGAGAAAACUGGAGCAGAAAGAAGGGAGAAAAAACCUCUUGACCACUGUUUUACUACUUCCUGCCUGAAAAAAAUGUAGAAAGUAUUUGGAAAAUGUGAAAAUGCUAUGUUUAUCUCAGUAUUUCUCACAGUAGACAUUUUUUCCUGUCCAUAAAGAUUAAUAGGAAGAUGCUUUCUUAGAGUUUUGAUAAGAGAUACUUAUAUUUUAACCAUACCUGCUUUGUUAUGAAUAAUUUCCUGUGUGGUUUCAGGAUUUUCAGGUGUCAAAAUUUUGAAAGGACACUCAUGCGAGCCUCCUUAGAAAUUGUGUUGUGCUUCAACAAGCUCUUGUAACGAGUCUGAGUCUGCAUUACCCACAGAAGUCAGAUGUGUCUGGAUCUGGAUUUCAAACAUUCCAGAAUCAAAGUCAGUCUUAGGCCUUUUGGUUCGGCUCUAGCACUGGUAUUUAGAUCCCUUGGUUAGGACUUCAACACCCGCUGUUUCAGGCUAUUCAAUUUGUGUUUUCCUCUUUUUGUGCUGAGUACAUCUUGGAGUGUUGUGUAAGUUACUUUGAAAAAUAUGCAUUGACUUCUAAGGAUUUUGAACUUGGCCUUUAACUAAAUCAUUCUCAGAUGUUUCUCUUAACUAAUGUUUUCAUUAAAGUUUUCUUUUCUACCAUUUCUCAUGUAUAUGUAAGUAUGUGUGUUCCUUAAUGGCAUAAUAGUGCAUUUUCUCUUUUUUGCCUUUUCACUUAUGACAAAAUGGUUGUAGAGGAUGUUGUACACUGUUCUAAAACAAUUCCAGCUUCUUUAUUGACUUUUUUUUUCCAGCUUUUGCCAACUUUUUCAUAUUUGUUUUAACAAUAGCAGGACAGGGCCUUUCAGACUAUGAGGGAAUUGGUAAUCCGAUCACAUACUUUAUGUCUUUGAAAAGAAGAAAAUACAAAGACAAAGACAGAAUGUGAUAGAAUUUUAUUUAAUGCAUUG
RNAcentral lists this long non-coding RNA (1399 nucleotides) under Anas platyrhynchos platyrhynchos (common mallard). RNAcentral describes it as "lncRNA (ENSAPLG00000019476.1)". Lineage: Eukaryota; Metazoa; Chordata; Aves; Anseriformes; Anatidae. The record is from RNAcentral.